CCUCCUCCUGUGUCCGGACAGUCCUGACCUGGACACACUGCCUGCUUCCCCAUCCCGGCUCCACCCCGAUGUUGGCAGGCCACUUGACCUCCUGUGCCUCAGUUUCCUCAUCUGUAAGAGCGGGUCCCAAGCUGUUAUCUGUGGUGUGUAGGGCACCAGCUCUGUGGCCACGGGGGACAAAAGGCUCAGGCUGGGCCGGAGACAGUUCAACGCCAGGAGGAGCAUCUGCAGCCCUAGGUGAGGCUGCCCCCAGGGUAGCCCCAUGACAGCUGCCAGCACCCGGGAGGCUCAGGGGCUGGUCUGGCUGCUUCGGGCUGCACCUCACCCCCAACAGCUUGGCCCUGGAGAAGCUGGUUAAUCAGGCUGCCCCAGGGGCUGGAAAGACCUGCAAAUGAAGAAGAACUUGGAUUCAGAGAAAGGGCUGCAGAGCCCUUGACAGCUGACAAGCCCGCCACUUAAACACUACUCCCGGGAUUUGGCGCUCACUAUGUGUGUAUUUUUCAAGACAUAACUCACAUACCUUCACAACCUUCACAGCUCAGUGGCUUAAAUAUAUAUAUGUCACCCAGGGAGGUCAGUUCACAGCUAACUGGAGCCUCAAACUCCCAGGUUCAGUUAAUCCUCCCACCUCAGCCUUCCCAGUAGCUGGAACCACAGGCACACAACACCAUGCUCCGGCUAAUUUUUAAAAUUUAUUUAAUUAAUUUUUUUUUAAGAUGGAGUCUCCUUUGUUGUCCAGGCUGGAGUGCAGUGGCGUGAUCUGGGCUCACUGCAACCUCCGCCUCCUGGGUUCAAGCGAUUCUCCUGCCUCAGCCUCCCAAGUAGCUGGGAUUACAGGCAUGUGCCCCACGGCCAGCUAAUUUUUGUAUUUUUAGUAGGGACGGGGUUUCACCAUGUUGGCUUGGCUGGUCUCAAAUUCCUGAUCUCAAGUGAUCCACCCGCCUUGGCCUCCCAAAGUGCUGGGAUUACAGGCAUGUGCCACCGUGCCUGGCACCCCCGCCAAUUUUUUUUUUGUUUUUUUUGAAACGGAGUUUUCACUCUUGUUGCCCAGGCUGGAGUACAAUGGCUCGAUCUUGGCUCACCGCAACCUCCACCUCCUGGGUUCAAGUGAUUCUCCUGCCUCAGCCUCCUGAGUAGCUGGGAUUACAGGCAUGUGCCACCACACCUGUCUAAUUUUGUAUUUUUAGUAGAGAUAGGGUUUCUCCACGUUGGUGAGGCUGGUCUCGAACUCCUGACCUCAGGUGAUCCACCCACCUCAGCCUCCCAAAGCGCUGGGAUUGCAGGUGUGAGCCACUGCGCCCGGCUGGCCAAUUUUUAAAAAUGUAUUUUUUAUAGAAACAGGAUCUUGCUAUGUUGCCCAGGCUGAUCUCUAACUCCUGGGAGGAUCAAGCAAAUCUCCUGCCUUGGCCUCCUAAAGUAUUGGGAUUACAGGCGUGAGCCACCGUGCCUGGCUAUUUUUUUUUUUUUUUGAGACAUGGAGUCUCACCCUGUCGCCCAGGCGGAGGUUGCAGUGAGCUGAGAUCGCACCACCGCACUACAGCGUGGAUGACAGAGUGAGACUCUGUCUCAAAAAAAAUAUAAUAAAAAUAUAUUUCUUGUAGAGACAGGGUCUCACUGUGUUGCCCAGCCUGGUCUUGAACUCCUGGCUCAAGGGAUCCUCCUGCCUCAGCCUCCCAAAGUGCCCAGAUUACAGGCAUGAGCCACAGCGCCCAACAGCUUUUAGUAUAUCAACAAGGUUGUGCAACCAUCACCAAUUCCAGAACCUUCUUACUUCCCCAAAACGAAACACUACACCCAUUAAACGGUAACUCUCCAUUCUCCCGUCCCCAGUGACGACUAAGCUACUUCUUGUUUCCAUGGUUUUGCCCGUAAUGGACAUUUCAUAGGAUGCAGUCACACAACAUGUGACCUUUUGUGUCUGGCUUUUGUUACUUUUUCAAGGUUCCUCCUCGACUGUGAUUGCUUCAUUCCUUUUCACAGUUGAGUAA
Molecule: long non-coding RNA, 1988 nt
Filed under: Homo sapiens (human)
Lineage: Eukaryota; Metazoa; Chordata; Mammalia; Primates; Hominidae
Description: HSALNT0124560
Source: RNAcentral